This 419-nucleotide ribosomal RNA is filed under the name bacterium. RNAcentral's name for it is "partial 16S ribosomal RNA". It matches the Rfam family "Bacterial small subunit ribosomal RNA", at positions 355 to 776 of the family's 1533-position model. The record is from RNAcentral.
UGGGGGAUAUUGCACAAUGGGCGCAAGCCUGAUGCAGCGACGCCGCGUGGGGGAUGAAGGCCUUCGGGUUGUAAACUUCUUUUGCUCUGAACAAGGCGCACUUGGGGGUGUGUUGAGUGUAGGGGUUGAUUAGCGCCGGCUAACUACGUGCCAGCAGCCGCGGUAAUACGUAGGGCGCGAGCGUUGUCCGGAAUUAUUGGGCGUACAGGGCUUGUAGGUGGCUGGUGGCGUCUGUCUUGAAAGCUCAUGGCUUAACUGUGGGUUUGCGGUGGGUACGGGCUGGCUUGAGUGCAGUAGGGGGGGCUGGAAUUCCUGGUGUAGGGGUGGAAUGGGCAGAUAUCAGGAGGAAUACCGGUGGCGGAGGCGGGUCUCUGGGCUGUUACUGACACUGAGGAGCGAAAGCAUGGGGAGCGAACAGG